Molecule: ribosomal RNA, 251 nt
Filed under: uncultured soil bacterium
Lineage: Bacteria
Description: partial 16S ribosomal RNA
Rfam family: Bacterial small subunit ribosomal RNA
Source: RNAcentral
AGGACGAACGCUGGCGGCGUGCUUAACACAUGCAAGUCGAGCGGAAAGGCCCUUCGGGGUACUCGAGCGGCGAACGGGUGAGUAACACGUGGGCAACCUGCCCUCAGCUCUGGGAUAACUCCGGGAAACCGGGGCUAAUACCGGAUACGACCACUCCUGGCAUCUGGGGUGUGGAAAGUUUUUCGGCUGAGGAUGGGCCCGCGGCCUAUCAGCUUGUGGUGGGUCACGGCCACCAAGGCGACGACGGGUAG